This 497-nucleotide ribosomal RNA is filed under the name uncultured bacterium. RNAcentral describes it as "partial 16S ribosomal RNA". It matches the Rfam family "Bacterial small subunit ribosomal RNA", at positions 28 to 507 of the family's 1533-position model. The record is from RNAcentral.
GAUGAACGCUGGCGGCGUGCCUAAUCCAUGCAAGUCAAGCGAACAGACGAGGAGUUUGCUCCUCUGACGUUAGCGGCGGACGGGUGAUUAACACUUGGAUAACCUACCUAUAAGACUGGGAUACCUUCGGGAAACCGGAGCUAAUACCGGAUAAUAUAUUGAACCGCAUGGUUCAAUAGUGAAAGACGUUUUUGCUUUCACUUUUAGUUGGAUCCGCGCCGAAUUAGCUAGUUGUUAAGGUAACGGCUUACCAAGGCGACGAUGCGUAGCCGACCUGAGAGGGGGAUCGGCCGCACUGGAACUGAGACACGGUCCAGACUCCUACGGGAGGAAGCAGUAGGGAAUCUUCCGCAAUGGGCGAAAGCCUGACGGAGCAACGCCGCGUGAGUGAUGAAGGUCUUCGGAUCGUAAAACUCUGUUAUUAGGGAAGAACAAAUGUGUAAGUAACUAUGCACGUCUUGACGGUACCUAAUCAGAAAGCCACGGCUAACUACGUG